Non-coding RNA from Sesbania bispinosa (prickly sesban), 73 nucleotides. The record is from the annotation of a GenBank genome assembly. Lineage: Eukaryota; Viridiplantae; Streptophyta; Magnoliopsida; Fabales; Fabaceae.
GUCCGUCUAGCUCAGUCAGUAGAGCAUAAAGCUCUUAAUCUUGUGGUUGUCGGUUCGAGUCCCAUGGUGGGCA